RNAcentral lists this small RNA (547 nucleotides) under Pan troglodytes (chimpanzee). RNAcentral describes it as "processed transcript". Lineage: Eukaryota; Metazoa; Chordata; Mammalia; Primates; Hominidae. The record is from RNAcentral.
AAUCCUGCGGGAGCUUGGGUGAAGGGAGGAAAGAGCAGAGAAUCGCCAAGAAAUCAGGGUGCUCAGCUAUCUGCAGGUGUGGACCCAGGGCCCAAGCCUGUGGCUUCCAGUCAAUCCAGCCCGCACCUCUCCCAUGGGAGGGCCUGAGAGCGCGGGAACAUCCUGGGCCCCUGGGAUCUCAGAGGCUGGACCUUCCUGGGAGACUCAUUGAGUAAGAUGCAGAGGACUCCUUCUUGGGUGGUGGGAGUCCCUGGUCUGCUCUGGGGCCCCUGGCUUUUCCCCAUGAGAAAAAGCAGCUGGAGCUGGGAAGUCCCACCUGGCCAUCGUGCAGAAGGUAAACAACGAGGGUGAGGGUGACCCCUUCUAUGAGGUCCUGGGCCUGGUCACCCUGGAGGACGUGAUCGAGGAGAUCAUCAAGUCGGAGAUCCUGGACGAGUCUGACAUGUACACUGACAACCGAAGCCGGAAGCGGGUGUCUGAGAAGAACAAGCGUGACUUCUCUGCCUUCAAGGAUGCGGACAAUGAGCUCAAAGUGAAAAUCUCCCCG